UUAUUUUGUUAAUGUCAAGGCGCUAUGCCGUAUUGGUCCAUGUUACUUGCUAUAUUAAACUUACCCCCUGCUUCUCGACUCCCAGCAUCUGGGUUACAGAAUACUGCCUCACAAAAUGGAAGCAGCAGACGGUCGACGAGCAGGGAUACCUGCUUUGUCAACACCACGACCAGCUGGCACAACUGGGGACGGCUAUGGAAGAGGCUCUUCGCAGUGUUCAACGUCUCAAACAUAUCUGAGAGGUGUUGCCUUCAACUAGUGGAGGAUACUCUACAACCAGUCAAGCCAGCAAACCAGCCUAUUCAGCAAACUGCGCAGGUCAGUGACGUCCCUCCCGGAUAAAUAUGACAACACCCCGUUUAAAUGCUGUGGCUUCUGACUACAGUACUCCCUCCACUUUUCGCACCAGAUGGGAGCUCCUACCACCGAGAGGUUCAAGGUUGCCACGGUUAUUUUUCUGCUGACUGGGUGGGCAUUGCAAUGGGCCAUAGAUGUCUGGGGUAGAGGAGCUGGAUUCGUAUGAGGGGUUCAAGGCUCGGUUCAGAGGUAUCUUCGAUCAUCCACCGAAGGGCAGAGUUAGUGCAGACAAGUACGGAGGACCAGACGGCUGCCGAGCAUGCGCUCACCUUCUGGACAGUAGCAGCAUCCAGCGGCUGGACUGUGCGAGGAGUUUCAGACGGAACUGGCCUGCCGAGAUGACAACCUCUGCUUGAAAGCACUCAUUGCGUGGCCAUCCAUUUGGAUAACCUUCUUCGGGAGCAUCGGCUCUCUCCCUCCCUCAGUGAACACUUUGGAUCAGAGCCUGAACCCAUGGAGGUAGGGGCCACUUGCCUCCCAGCGGCGGAGCAAUGCAGACGGCGAUAGCUGGGGCUCUGUCUAUUGUGGUCAACGAGGGCUUCUGCAGUGUCCGAUACGGCCCAACUCGGGAUCCACAAGAGUAGAGGGAUGGUCACGUGAUCUCUAUCCUCCUGGGGCAGGUAUAGUGGAUUCCUGUGCUGUGGGGAACUUUAUUGACCAGACCCUUGCCACCUCAACGUCACCUCAUACCCGCUCUCCUCUCCUUUCCUGGUUCAAGCCCUUGAUAAUCAGCAAUUAGGUUCCGGGACCAUCAGACACAUCAAACCACUCACUGCGCCCCCACGCAAAUGUAUCGACCCUCUGUCGGUGGCUGAAAACCAGGCCAUGGAUGAGUACAUCCAUGAGGCGCUCCAACUAGGUUUCAUCCGCACGUCCACUUCUCCUGCGUCGGCAGGAUAAUUCUUCGUGGCCAAGGAUGGAGGGUUACGCCCAUGUAUUGAUUAGAGGACUCGAUGAAAUCCCCACCAACUACCGUUACCCUCUCCCAUUGGUGCUGGCAGCCAUCAAAGAGCUCCGCGGGGCCCAUUUUUAUUUUUUAUAUAUUUUUUWAAACCAAAAACGACCUGCGGAGUACAUACAAUCUCAUCUGCAUCUGGGAGGGGGAUGACUGGAAGACAGUUUUUAGCACAGUUUCUGGUCACUACGAGUGUUCCAGGCAUUAGUCAACGAGGUGUUUCGGGACAUGCUCUGACGCCAGGUAGUCGCGUAUAUCGACAACAUCCUGAUUUACUCGGCUACCUUGGAGGAUCACAUUGCGUGGAUGAAAAAUGAAGACCCUGAUGCGAGACCUACAGUGGAGGGAGACCCUGAAUCAUCCCUCCUUCUGGAAACCACAGAGGAGAGUUGGGAAUGAGAGGUCGGUAAGUGUCGUGAUGCUGACCAAGAGCUUCUAGAAGUGCUAUGGAGAGAACCUGUCAGUGGAGAUCCAAGCUGCCCUCUGAAUUGAUGAAAAAGAUGGAUGGCAYAKAGCCCUACCCUGAGAACAUGUUGGGGUUACUACGUUUCAUACGCAACCUCCAUGAGCACUAUGCUGAGGAUUUAGAAUCGGUUGACCUAAUGAAGAUGUUCCCUGAUCUCUUUGGAUGCGUCUAGAUGUUGGCCAAGGAACGGGGCUGGAAUUCAAGGCCUGGUCCGAAAAACGUGUUUCAGAAAGAUCUAAGCUCAUGAUUCUGAAACGUAAACUGUCGUAUGACUUAUUGUAAUAAUGUAAUACUGUAAUACUUUUGUAGCUAGACAGUGAUCUUAACUGUCUCAAGAACAUUUCAUAUUCUAUAUUUUCACUGAUCUAAUAUCCAUAUGAUUUUAACAAAUCUUACAUGGUUAUAUCCUACAUAUUAUGGGAGUUCAUAUGAAAAUACAGUACUCAAAGCUUUGAUAAAGGUAGUGAUAACUUUUUUACUGUCUUCAGUUAAGGUAUACAGGAUUUGUAAUAUGAAUAAUCUGUAUGAGAUUUAUCAAGGAUGUCUGAAUCAAAGUAUUAACAUCCUAUUUA
This is a long non-coding RNA of Salvelinus sp. IW2-2015, 2350 nucleotides long. RefSeq lists it as uncharacterized. The transcript has 5 exons. Lineage: Eukaryota; Metazoa; Chordata; Actinopteri; Salmoniformes; Salmonidae. The record is from RefSeq and is a predicted model, not a curated record.